RNAcentral lists this ribosomal RNA (460 nucleotides) under uncultured bacterium. RNAcentral's name for it is "partial 16S ribosomal RNA". It matches the Rfam family "Bacterial small subunit ribosomal RNA", at positions 338 to 795 of the family's 1533-position model. The record is from RNAcentral.
CCUACGGGUGGCAGCAGUGAGGAAUAUUGGUCAAUGGGCGCGAGCCUGAACCAGCCAAGUAGCGUGAAGGAUGACUGCCCUACGGGUUGUAAACUUCUUUUAUAAAGGAAUAAAGUGAGGCACGUGUGCCUUUUUGUAUGUACUUUAUGAAUAAGGAUCGGCUAACUCUGUGCAAGCAGCCGCGGUAAUACGGAGGAGCCGAGCGUUAUCCGGAUUUAUUGGGUUUAAAGGGAGAGUAGAUGGGUUGUUAAGGAAGUUGGGAAAGUUUGCGGCGCAACAGUAAAAUUGCAAUUGAUACUGGCAGCCUUGAGUACAGUUGAGGUAGGCGGAAUUCGUGGUGUAGCGGUUAAAUGCUUAGAUAUCACGAAGAACUACGAUUGCGAAGGCAGCUUACUAAACUGCCACUGACAUUGAUGCUCGAAAGUGUGGGUAUCAAACAGGAUUAGAUACCCCGGUAGUC